This 515-nucleotide ribosomal RNA is filed under the name uncultured Lachnospiraceae bacterium. Its description in RNAcentral is "partial 16S ribosomal RNA". The record is from RNAcentral. Lineage: Bacteria; Bacillati; Bacillota; Clostridia; Lachnospirales; Lachnospiraceae.
CACGUAGUUAGCCGGGGCUUCUUAGUCAGGUACCGUCAUUUUCUUUCCUGCUGAUAGAGCUUUACGUACCGAAAUACUUCUUCACUCACGCGGCGUCGCUGGAUCAGGGUUUCCCCCAUUGUCCAAUAUUCCCCACUGCUGCCUCUCGUAGGAGUUUGGGCCGUGUCUCAGUCCCAAUGUGGCCGUCCACCCUCUCAGGCCGGCUACUGAUCGUCGCCUUGGUGGGCCGUUACCCCGCAACCAGCUAAUCAGACGCGGGCCCAUCCCAUACCACCGGAGUUUUCACACACCUUCAUGCGAAGCUGUGCGCUUAUGCGGUUUUAGCUACCUGUUUCCAGGUUGUUAUCCCCCGGUAUGGGGCAGGUUGCCCACGCGUUACUCACCCGUCCGCCACUACUUACACUUCCGUAGUCAAUGCAAGCAUCUCCUGCUUCUGUGUAAGUUCCGUUCGACUUGCAUGUGUUAGGCACGCCGCCAGCGUUCACGUCCUGACGUACCGAGGUACUACGAAACUC